GCUUAUUGGACAGCAGUUAGUUCAGGGAGUAGGGGAGCUGAUGAUCCUGUGUGUACUGAUAUGUUAGUAUGGGUGGGAAGGAGAGCAAUGCUGAGGAGACUAGUGAUGAGUUAGACGUUAAAUGGGAAGUAGAGGAGAGGGUCGUAUGUAAGAGUGGAACACUGCCUGUGGGAAUACCAGCAUGGAGAUUUUAGUCAACAAUUGUAUCACGUCAUAUAUUUGAUAUCUUGGUAAAAGCUGGUAAGUGUUCCCCACCUCCCAAAGUGGUAAUUAUUAGAGGUGAGGGAUGAGUUAAUUAGCUUGUGGUAACCAUCUCGAAUCAUUAAUGUGUACACUAUAAAUAAAUAGUUUUCUCAAUCAUACCUCAAUAAAGCUGGGGAAAACCAACAAACAACCCCCUCACACACAAGCUGGGCUGUGUGGGGGCUACAACUUUUUGGCCUGUUUUGACUCUGUUGCCUUUUCCUCAUUAACCCCUAACUACGGGUGAUUUGCAACUUGUUUUCAUCUUCCCAUACCUUGUAUGUCCUCUUUCUACAGUGUAAUAACUUCAUUGCUUGAGAUACUAAAUGCGUGGCUGGGGACCCUCACGUUUCUUGCUCGACGUGCAGCCAUUUCACCUUUGCACAGGAGAAGGGCGGCCUAAUGUUUCCUGCAAGCAAUUUUUUGAUGGGAAGUUCUCCCUGCAGGAGUGAACAAGGGGAGCAACAUUUAGACACCUGGGGAGGGGGAUAUUUAUUUUCGUCUUUAUUCAUUCCUUAUAAGGACGGGCAAGCUGGGUGCUCUUAUGGAAAUUCCAAUCCAGACUUGGCGGUGGCUGAAAGGAUGAAGAAAUUAAAAUACUAGGGAUGCAGGGUUGUAGCGGGGCCUUGUGAGGGAAAGAGAAUUCCUGGACCCGGGGCCAGAAAAUGCAAAUUCAAGUCGUUCAUAAAACUCUGUUCUGUUAAAGGAAGGAUGCAGAGGUCAUGAGGGAGCAGAAAGGUUGAGUCAGGUGUAGAUUAGAAGAGAGGCCAUAUGAUAGGUAGGAUUUGAGUUGGGGGGGGGUCCGCAGGGGAGGAAGGGAGGGAGAAGGGAACUAGGAUUGUCAUGUAAUUCAAUCUUGUUUGAAAUUCAAAUAUAUAAAAAACAAAAAACUACCUGGACACAUGGGGAAGGGCCUAGGCCUGGCCCAGGAUGACGUGGUAGACUUUGGGGAGCCCCUUUUGAGGGCCUUACUCUGUCUGGG
RNAcentral lists this long non-coding RNA (1225 nucleotides) under Cricetulus griseus (Chinese hamster). Its description in RNAcentral is "lncRNA (ENSCGRG00015035600.1)". Lineage: Eukaryota; Metazoa; Chordata; Mammalia; Rodentia; Cricetidae. The record is from RNAcentral.